GCCAAACAGAACACAUCUGUGGGCUGGAGUGAGUUUGUACCAGUUUGCAACCUGGCAUAAAAUAGGUGUUCUGUAAACAGAAGCACCUGCUCCUGCUGCCUGAUGUCUCAGGUGGGUGGUGCUCAAGAGAUGUGCCAGGCUGCACGUGCAGCUGAUCUGCUCCAGAUUUCCAGGAUGGACAAGGAGAAGGCCUAUGGCAAAGCUGCAUCUGAAGGUUUGCUCUGGGAUUCUUGUGGCUUGGAACCACCAGGCUGGAUGCUUCACUUUCUCUCUGGCAGCAGUAUAGCUGUGGCUCUGGGGAAGAGUUUUGUACCUCCGAAGUGGGUGUCCCUGGUUCGCCCUGAGGCUCCUGAGUGAGUGAUGGGCAUCUUAAGAUGCAAAACCUCAUGAAGAAGAGUUCACAACCAGGUACGCCGCGAGAGGACCAGCUCUUUGGAGAUGAAAUGCAGCACAUGUUAAGUCAUGGGUUCAAGUCAAACAUGCUCUAACGGACACAUAGUGGAACCAAAGGCAUAGUUUAGCAGCAGGUCUUCCGGAAAACAAGCAACCAACACAAGCAAAACCCUGACUUGCUAAGACAGAAGGUGGGAGUGGGAGCAGCUUUGACAAGGUCAGGUUAUUCUACAUAUUGCGUUUGUGUAAAUUAGAGCAAGAGCCCCCUGCUGGGUGGAUGUGGCACUGCUAGACCAUGGCUUGGCAGGUCCAAGGCAACUUUCUU
This 718-nucleotide long non-coding RNA is filed under the name Canis lupus familiaris (dog). RNAcentral describes it as "lncRNA (ENSCAFG00000056021.1, ENSCAFG00845004349.1)". Lineage: Eukaryota; Metazoa; Chordata; Mammalia; Carnivora; Canidae. The record is from RNAcentral.